AGAACGAACGCUGGCGGCAGGCCUAAUACAUGCAAGUCGAACGCACUCUUCGGAGUGAGUGGCAGACGGGUGAGUAACGCGUGGGAACCUUCCCAAUGGUACGGAAUAACUCCGGGAAACCGGUGCUAAUACCGUAUAAGCCCCUCGGGGGAAAGAUUUAUCGCCAUUGGAUGGGCCCGCGUCGGAUUAGCUAGUUGGUAAGGUAAUGGCUUACCAAGGCUACGAUCCGUAGCUGGUCUGAGAGGAUGAUCAGCCACACUGGGACUGAGACACGGCCCAGACUCCUACGGGAGGCAGCAGUAGGGAAUCUUGGACAAUGGGCGAAAGCCUGAUCCAGCCAUGCCGCGUGAGUGAAGAAGGCCUUAGGGUUGUAAAGCUCUUUUUGGCGGGGACGAUAAUGACGGUACCCGCAGAAUAAGCCCCGGCUAACUUCGUGCCAGCAGCCGC
This 447-nucleotide ribosomal RNA is filed under the name uncultured bacterium. Its description in RNAcentral is "SSU rRNA". It matches the Rfam family "Bacterial small subunit ribosomal RNA", at positions 26 to 518 of the family's 1533-position model. The record is from RNAcentral.